UACGGAGGAUCCAAGCGUUAUCCGGAUUUAUUGGGUUUAAAGGGUGCGUAGGCGGCGCGCUAAGUCGGUGGUGAAAGACGGUGGCUCAACCAUCGCAGUGCCGUUGAUACUGGCGCGCUUGAAUGCGGAUGAGGUAGGCGGAAUGUGGCAAGUAGCGGUGAAAUGCAUAGAUAUGCCACAGAACACCGAUUGCGAAGGCAGCUUACCAAGGCGCUAUUGACGCUGAUGCACGAAAGCGUGGGGAUCGAACAGGAUUAGAUACCCUGGUAGUCCACGCCCUAAACGAUGAUGACUCGGUGUCGGCGAUACACAGUCGGCGCCCAAGCGAAAGCGUUAAGUCAUCCACCUGGGGAGUACGCCCGCAAGGGUGAA
RNAcentral lists this ribosomal RNA (372 nucleotides) under uncultured bacterium. RNAcentral describes it as "bacterial SSU rRNA". It matches the Rfam family "Bacterial small subunit ribosomal RNA", at positions 524 to 898 of the family's 1533-position model. The record is from RNAcentral.